AGUGAACGCUGGCGGUAGGCCUAACACAUGCAAGUCGAACGGCAGCACAGUAAGAGCUUGCUCUUACGGGUGGCGAGUGGCGGACGGGUGAGGAAUACAUCGGAAUCUACUUUUUCGUGGGGGAUAACGUAGGGAAACUUACGCUAAUACCGCAUACGACCUACGGGUGAAAGCAGGGGAUCUUCAGACCUUGCGCGAUUGAAUGAGCCGAUGUCGGAUUAGCUAGUUGGCGGGGUAAAGGCCCACCAAGGCGACGAUCCGUAGCUGGUCUGAGAGGAUGAUCAGCCACACUGGAACUGAGACACGGUCCAGACUCCUACGGGAGGCAGCAGUGGGGAAUAUUGGACAAUGGGCGCAAGCCUGAUCCAGCCAUACCGCGUGGGUGAAGAAGGCCUUCGGGUUGUAAAGCCCUUUUGUUGGGAAAGAAAAGCAGCAGGUUAAUACCCCGCUGUUCUGACGGUACCCAAAGAAUAAGCACCGGCUAACUUCGUA
RNAcentral lists this ribosomal RNA (492 nucleotides) under uncultured bacterium. Its description in RNAcentral is "partial 16S ribosomal RNA". It matches the Rfam family "Bacterial small subunit ribosomal RNA", at positions 29 to 507 of the family's 1533-position model. The record is from RNAcentral.